This is a long non-coding RNA of Passer domesticus (house sparrow), 2859 nucleotides long. RefSeq lists it as uncharacterized. NCBI's taxonomy places the organism in Eukaryota, Metazoa, Chordata, Aves, Passeriformes, Passeridae. The transcript has 7 exons. The record is from RefSeq and is a predicted model, not a curated record.
AGCAUAGGAAGGAGAUGGACGUGCUGGAGCGAGUCCAGAGGAGAGCCGUGAAGCUGGUCACACGGCCGGAGCCCCUCUCCCGCAGGCACAGGCUGAGAGUUUAGCCUGGAGAAGAGGUGGCUCCGGGGAGGCUUUAUUUGAGCCCAUGGGUCAUCUAUUAAUUGUUUCCGUGUUCAACUCUCUUGUUAAUGGACUACGUAUGGGAAGAAAAACUGUAACGUCACCACUUACUUGUGUCUAGCAACCAUGCCUCAGCUGUUCUGUAAACCAAAAAGGCUGCCCAAUCACUUUGAGGCAGACUUCAUCUCUCAUUGCAGUGGACAAGACUGAAGAAACUUGAUUGCAGCACUUAAACAUUAAGGAAUUUUACAACCGUGAAAUGAAGGAAAAUUUGUGAAGAUCUUAACAGUCAAGAAGAGUACCAGUCAAGAGUACUUCAAAUUGUCGAGACUCGGUAAUAUAGUCAUCUUUUGAGGGAAGAGCUCUGUCCUGACUGUGCCAGUGGAUUUUUCACCUUCAGUAAGGCAGUAGAGUGAGUUAAGAUAAGGAAGCUGCAAUUAACUUGUUAGAAGACAUCACUCUAGAUUUGUUUCAGAAAACAGAAUCAGUCCCAAAUACGUCUUUUGAUAGUAAGUGGCACUUCAGAGCUGAUGGUUGCAGUCAAGUACAGAAGAACAUAAACAAAGAAUCCCAUAAUCCUUGUACUAUCAGCUAAGGGGGAGCUGCAUUCAGCCCAGGGAGUCAGAGUCAGGAGAAGACAACCUGCAGCAGCUCCUUGUGCAAAGCUGAAUCCCAGGAAAAUAAAGCUGAAGUGCUUUCAGUUCAUCACAGUCCAGUGUGGUCAUGGUGCAUUUCAGGGCUGCAUUUCAGUCCAAACGGGAGCCAGGGACUUUGGGCCAGAGGCUGAGGCAUGCAGAUGGCACAGUACAACUGCUGAUGGUGAGCUGGUUCUCUGCAGCCUCAUUCAAACUCCAAGAGAUGUGUCUGCGGUUCUUGAAGAGACAAGUGGGGCCACCUCCUGUGGGACACAGCUUGAGGAGGUUCAGCAAAUACCUUCCUGACUGAGUGUUCGUGGGUAAAAAUACUGAGCUCUUUGUAUUUAUUUGUUUCUAUGGCCCUCCUCCACCCUAAACCUACUCCUUUCCUUGGAAAAGUAUGUUGGGGUUUUCUUGAUAUCUCCAAAUUACUGGCGGUGGGGAAGAACUGCUUGCCAAGAGAGAUUAUGGAGAAUUUAGUGUUUUUAGUGGAGAUGAAAUAAGAACCAGAUUGAGGGCCACAAGCAGAGUUGUGUUGCUGUCUGUACAGCAUUCAGGUAAUUUUCUUAACAUUUAGAUAUCUGGAUUCUGCUGCUAUCAUUUUAUGAGGACAUUUUUUUGCUGCUAGUGUUUGCACCAGUUUGUAUCUGUUUACUUCAGUUCCCCCAAAACUUUCUGUACCUAUUUAAUCUUUUCUGCUAAGUCCAUCACACUCAGUCCCAUAAACCAGCCCAAAUUAACCCAAGUAAUGUGGAGUAUUUUAGUUUUAUUUUUCUUUUCCCCAUUUCCCCAUUCCCCCAUUCAGAUUGUAUAUAUAUAUAUUUUGGCCAUAAGUAACCCUUAAUUAAUGAAAUAAUCCAGAGACAGCUGUAGCAGAGCCAUGUAGAUUGUAGAUAAGGAACUGUUUUCUCUCUACUUUGUGAUUAGCUGCCAGAGUUCAUUACUUGAAUUUUAUGUUCCCCCUCUAUCAUAUUACACUGCAAAUUCAUGGCUAGUGAAAUGUCCAGUUCCUCCAAAGUACAUACUUCUAUUACUGCUUCCCUGGUUGAAUGCCUGUGUUUCUCAUUAAUUUUCCUGAAAUAUUCUGGCUUGCAAUUUUUUAAGAUUAACUUGAUUUUUGGUAAGACCCUCAGUCUGCAUAUUUCUGUUUUCUCUUCAGUCACGUAUUAUUUUUUUUCUUCUCUACUAGAGCCUCAUCUGCUUUAUCAGAAACAUACAGUCUCUGGGUAUUAGGGUUUUCAGGCUCAGCUAUUUUUACAACACCUACUGCCAUGUUCCUUUGUCUUCUUUCAUUCUCCAUCUGCCUCUUAUCUGGUCUCUCACCUUGUUUUCUUUCAGUUGACAAAUAAAUGUUGCCAGUGUAUUUUUUUCUUGUCUCCCAUUGUAAGUUCUGCUCUAACUGCAUUUUUUUUUCUGAAACACAAGGUAACCUGUCACCUAUAUGUUACAAAUAUGUAAACUCCAAAAUUCCUUUUGGAAUAAAUGGGAGCAGCCUGUUUGAUAUUAGUUCAUCAGAAUCUGGUUUUAAAAACAUCCUGAAAGAAAAAAAAAGGCUGUCAAAACAAGAAAAAAAAAUUUAACAAAUAACCUUUUCUUUGAAGGGAUUUGCCUUCUGGCUUGGUAGAGUGUAAGUUAGAUAUUGCUCUGAUAAUUACUUUCCUUUAAAAACUGUAUUUUAUUCUAUUUCACUUAAUCUUUAAAAUAGUUUGUUCCAUCCUUUAACCACUGAUAUAAAGUUUGGUCAUAAAGACUUGUGACAAGAAGACAUAUUGCAAAAGAAAUCCUACAGGCAAGCUGUUAAAUAUAGAAAUCAGUAGACCUAUUAGCAUUAACUUACAGAAAAAGAAAAAACCCACCUUUUAGUAAAAUGUUCCAAAAUGUUCUGACCUUUCUAAAAUAAAAUUCUGUUUAAACUUUAAAGUUUAGUACCAGAAUCUCUGUCCUAGUCCACAGUAACUAUGAAAUAGGAGUUUGUAACCUCUGAGAGCUGACGCAGCUUUUAUAUAUUUUUUCUUCUACUGCUCUAUGUUUGUAACAUUCAUUUCAAUAACUCCUUUCUUUUUUUUUCAUGAGAAAUGAAUAUGUAAUGAAACCUAUUGAAGGA